UGAAUUAGAUCGGUAUAAUGUUGUU
RNAcentral lists this non-coding RNA (25 nucleotides) under Drosophila melanogaster (fruit fly). The record is from RNAcentral. Lineage: Eukaryota; Metazoa; Arthropoda; Insecta; Diptera; Drosophilidae.